This is a long non-coding RNA of Ornithodoros turicata, 110 nucleotides long. RefSeq lists it as uncharacterized. The transcript is spliced from 3 exons. The record is from RefSeq and is a predicted model, not a curated record. NCBI's taxonomy places the organism in Eukaryota, Metazoa, Arthropoda, Arachnida, Ixodida, Argasidae.
CACGAGGAAUUUUUCAUCAAAUCUUGGCAUGCCACAGCAGAACAGACCAAUAAAAAUAUGUUAUUCAGGAUGUCUGCAAUCCAGUAAAGCAUGGAAAACUGGGAAUAGUC